UCCAGAUGCACAUUUGUCUGGGAUACUUUUCAAAGUGUCAGCCCUACGCCCAGAGGUUCUGAUUCAUUUGGUCUGGUGGGACCUGGAUGCCAGUAUUUUUAACAGCUUUCUGCAGAUGACAAUAGCCAAGCCUGACUACUGCUUGAGACUCCUUCAUUUAUUCUUCAAAAGUCAAGUUGGAGUGCCCGCUCUGUGCCACGCAGUAUAUUACAUGCUGAUAGAGACGCGAACCAGCAGAUAAAAUCGUUCUCGUGAAGCUCACACUCCAUGGAGGAAGGCAAGCAAUAAAACCAUUAAUAAAUGAAUAAAUAAAUAGUGCUAAUAAAUAAAUAAGCACUAUCCAGAAAAACAAGACCAGAGUAUGGGUAAUGAGAAGAAGCAAGCCGUCAGCAGCUCGGGAGGAAGAACAUUUGAGGCAGAGGGGACAGCCAAUGCAAAGGCUAAGAGGCAGGAACAGAUUGACCUAUUCCAGAAAGAGAAAGAAGGCCAAUGUGGCUGAGAUUUGGUGAAUGAAGAAGAGCGAAACAUGGAGGAGGUCAGAGAGACAGGCAGCAGGGAGCCGUCAUGGAACUUUGCCGUCAAAUGUUCUACCACUUGUCAUGGAGCUUUGUAAACAAGGCCACGGAAUAUGGAUUUUAUUGUAUAAGCAAUAGGAUGUCAACAGACAUGGAGGAAUGAUGGGCUCUGAUUUACAUUUUCAAGUGCUAACUCUGGCUGCUGGUUGGAGAAAGAACUAGAUGGGGCAAAGAGUAGGAAUGGAUAGACCAAGUAGGAGACAAAAGCAAUUGUCCAGAUUAUCAGUUCCCUGAGGGCAAAGCCUCUGGAAAAUAUUACUGUUCCUCAUCACAGCCUGGAUGCCGCACACGAGAACACCCCAAAGAGACCGGCGUGUGGCCUGGAUUUGCCUAACCUUGGCUGCGACAUCAGAGCUCAGGGAUCCAGUUACAGAUCAGCCCAGAGGUCUGUUUCUGAUCAGCUCGGCAGCCAUCUGUAAUGCCUGCUAGUCAUUUAACCUGGCAGAGAGUAAGGGCCUCUCCCCCAAAUAGAGUGUAAAACCACAACCACAGCCCGCAAGACCUUGAGACGUGCAAAUCCAGCGAUUACCCAAUGGCAAGUAUGGGUGUGCUGGAAGGCAGCCUUUUCCAAGUCUUCUAAGUCCAGAAUCACUUGGAUCACAUCACACUUGCCCAAGAUGGACACAACGGGGUGCGUGACAUUCUGACUUCAACAACCCCCACCAUUUCAGAGUCCUGAGGAUGACUUUGAAUCUGGAUGCUUCUGAGGCCUCAAAUGCUCACAUCACCUGGAGACUCUGCAAGACGAAGAAGCUGUGGGAUUGGCUGGCGGUGAUGUCACAGCCACGCCAGCACUGCCUUCUGAGUGGCUGUCUGCCCCCCUUGACUAUCUCCUACCCCAUCUUGAUUUAUACAUGAUAUAAUAUCCAAAGCAGCGCUCAAGGAAUCUUCCUUAGCCUCAGCCUCCUACCGCCACCCCAGGCAUGUAAUAAUGUCCCAGAAAUACACAGGCUGCCAUAUCUUAUUACAUAAAUAUAGGCCUGAGAAGCUUCUCCAUGUGACAGUAGGAAGCAAGUGCCACCCAGGAAUGGCCCCGGGGAAGAGGGAGACAGAGCACUAUCAUCUCAGAGUUCUUAAGUGGAAAUAUUAUCUCCCAGCAUCGUUCCAAUUAAAAUUGGAAAAUAUGGGGCCCCACCUCCCCUUUCCAAUAUGUUGGAGCAGGAACACAGGGAAGGAUAUGCACCCAGAAGUCCUGCUUUGUUCCCUGGCUCUGCUGGGCAUUUCAGUGUGUUGAGAAGGUCACUGUCUUCUGAGUUGUGGUUUCCUCCUCUCUAGAAUAAGGGGAAACGGUACAACCUGCCAGGUGAAUUUUUGACAGAAUGAAAGGACACCACAGGUGUGAAAAUACAAACUACAGCCACACAAAUUUCAUUUCAUAAUCAUCAUAACAACAGUGAUAAUAAUGAUAAAUUUCCAUGCCUCUUGA
This is a long non-coding RNA of Leopardus geoffroyi (Geoffroy's cat), 2001 nucleotides long. RefSeq lists it as uncharacterized. Lineage: Eukaryota; Metazoa; Chordata; Mammalia; Carnivora; Felidae. The record is from RefSeq and is a predicted model, not a curated record. The transcript is spliced from 2 exons.